GAGACAGCAGCAGCCGCGGGAAUACGAAGGGGGCUAGCGUUGCUCGGAAUCACUGGGCGUAAAGGGUGCGUAGGCGGGUCUUUAAGUCAGGGGUGAAAUCCUGGAGCUCAACUCCAGAACUGCCUUUGAUACUGAAGAUCUUGAGUUCGGGUGAGGUGAGUGGAACUGCGAGUGUAGAGGUGAAAUUCGUAGAUAUUCGCAAGAACACCAGUGGCGAAGGCGGCUCACUGGCCCGAUACUGACGCUGAGGCACGAAAGCGUGGGGAGCAAACAGGAUUAGAUACCCGUGUAGUCCCUGUCUCUUAUAC
Molecule: ribosomal RNA, 308 nt
Filed under: uncultured bacterium
Lineage: Bacteria
Description: partial 16S ribosomal RNA
Rfam family: Bacterial small subunit ribosomal RNA
Source: RNAcentral